CAACCCUUUCUGUGAGGAAAAUUUUCCUAAUACCCAAUCUAAACCCCCCUGGCACAACUUGAGGUCCUUUCUUGUUUUCCUAUCGCUUGUUAUUUGGGAUAAGGGACCAACUCCCACCUCAGUAAAACCCCUUCAGGUAGCUGUAGAAAGCGAUAAGGUCCCCCCUGAGCCUCCUGUUUUCUGGGCUAAACAACUCCAGUGAGGUUAUUUCUAGCAAUGUUUUCUUUCCCUUUCAGAAACCAUGAGGAGACAAUACCACAAAAGUAUUUGAGAUCCAUGUGAACCUUGUUUAUCCACUGUGGAUUGGGAUUUACAUUCCAGGGGUAUAAUGAACCCAGAGAUGCAAAGAUGUGGGCGCACAACGUUAUUAAACCCUUGAAGAUUAUCCCAGUCUCACUCAAUAACAGAACCUUUCCUUAAUGACUCUGGCAUGGAUAUGAACUAUAGCCUUUAACAGAGCUCAAUGCCAACAGAAACCAGGAACUCUGCCGAAGCUUUAUCAUUUUUCUUCAGUGGAGGGGGAAAGUGUUUAUCUGGGAAGCAUUUCACAUCACAGACAAUAGGAAACUGUUCAGCUUUCCACAAACAGGCUGGUGUGCAGCUUCCAAGCACUCUCCAAGGAAAACUUUGGAACACUGGCCACGUCUUUCCAGCUUGGAUUUAAUGUAAAUAGGACCAAAUGUUUUCUGGCUGAAGUGACAAAAGUUAUGCACACGGAACUUGUGCAUUGUAAAGAGCUCCCUGCAAGCUGAAUUACUACACUCAUGCUGAAUCAAGCAGCUCUACUGAUUGCAGCACAGCCCAGAGACCUCUUGUUGAAGGAAAAGAAGUCAGCUCUGGAUGUGGAAAAGCUCUCUGUCCUAACGUGUGAGGUCUCUUUGCCUGACAACGUGAUAGUGAAGGAGAGGGUGCUAGUGAUGGGAGUACAAUCCCCAGGCUCAGAUCAAGUGAAAGAUCCAAAGGCUUACAAGAGGUUUAAGAAGAACUGCAGAAUCCCAAUGGGGAGAUUAUUCCACCCACAUUAAAAAAGAAGGAUGCAUUUUCCCCUGUAUCAGAAGAGAUGGGAUCCAGAAUCUACCUUUCUCAGUUCUUUUUUCCUCAAUUAAUUGUUUCCAAUUAAAGUGUUACAGCUCUUGUAAUUUUUUUUUUCACCUGUGUAUUUUCUAAAUGAAUGUUUACUUAUUUCACAAUAAC
This 1194-nucleotide long non-coding RNA is filed under the name Cyanistes caeruleus (blue tit). Its description in RNAcentral is "lncRNA (ENSCCEG00000013362.1)". Lineage: Eukaryota; Metazoa; Chordata; Aves; Passeriformes; Paridae. The record is from RNAcentral.